Molecule: ribosomal RNA, 428 nt
Filed under: uncultured bacterium
Lineage: Bacteria
Also listed under: 1 other name
Description: bacterial SSU rRNA
Rfam family: Bacterial small subunit ribosomal RNA
Source: RNAcentral
UGGGGAAUCUUGCGCAAUGGGCGAAAGCCUGACGCAGCGACGCCGCGUGGGGGAAGAAGGCUUUCGGGUUGUAAACCCCUUUCAGGUGGGACGAAGCCACUCGGGUUAAUAGCCCAGAGGGUGACGGUACCGCCAGAAGAAGCCCCGGCUAACUACGUGCCAGCAGCCGCGGUAAUACGUAGGGGGCAAGCGUUGUCCGGAUUUAUUGGGCGUAAAGAGCGUGUAGGCGGUUAGGUAGGUCCGUUGUGAAAACUCGAGGCUCAACCUCGAGACGCCGAUGGAAACCCCCUAACUAGAGUCCGGAAGAGGAGAGUGGAAUUCCUGGUGUAGCGGUGAAAUGCGCAGAUAUCAGGAAGAACACCCGUGGCUAAGGCGGCUCUCUAGUACGGUACUGACGCUGAGACGCGAAAGCGUGGGGAGCGAACAGG